AUAGUUACCUGGCAAGGGAGAUACCAUGAUCACAAAGGUGGUUUUUCAGGGUGAGUCUUAUCCACUAGACUCCAAAUGUGCUGACCUGUGAUUUCCCCAAAUGUGGGAAACUUCACUGCAUAAUUUGUGGUAGUAGGGGACUGCAUUUUUGCUUUCCCCUG
Molecule: small nuclear RNA, 161 nt
Organism: Leptonychotes weddellii (Weddell seal)
Lineage: Eukaryota; Metazoa; Chordata; Mammalia; Carnivora; Phocidae
Product: U1 spliceosomal RNA
Source: RefSeq, a predicted model, not a curated record